AGAGCGAACGCUGGCGGCAGGCUUAACACAUGCAAGUCGAGCGGGCGUAGCAAUACGUCAGCGGCAGACGGGUGAGUAACGCGUGGGAACAUACCUUUUGGUUCGGAACAACCCAGGGAAACUUGGGCUAAUACCGGAUAAGCCCUUACGGGGAAAGAUUUAUCGCCAAAAGAUUGGCCCGCGUCUGAUUAGCUAGUUGGUGAGGUAACGGCUCACCAAGGCGACGAUCAGUAGCUGGUCUGAGAGGAUGAUCAGCCACAUUGGGACUGAGACACGGCCCAAACUCCUACGGGAGGCAGCAGUGGGGAAUAUUGGACAAUGGGCGCAAGCCUGAUCCAGCCAUGCCGCGUGAGUGAUGAAGGCCCUAGGGUUGUAAAGCUCUUUUGUGCGGGAAGAUAAUGACGGUACCGCAAGAAUAAGCCCCGGCUAACUUCGCGCCAGCAGCCGC
Molecule: ribosomal RNA, 448 nt
Filed under: uncultured bacterium
Lineage: Bacteria
Description: SSU rRNA
Rfam family: Bacterial small subunit ribosomal RNA
Source: RNAcentral